GCCUUCGUGGUUUAAAGGUAGCACACUCGGCUCGUAUUCGAGAAAUCCAGAUUCAUGUCCUGGUGAGGGCA
RNAcentral lists this transfer RNA (71 nucleotides) under Stegodyphus mimosarum. It matches the Rfam family "tRNA". From Rfam's summary of the family: Transfer RNA (tRNA) molecules are approximately 80 nucleotides in length. Their secondary structure includes four short double-helical elements and three loops (D, anti-codon, and T loops). The record is from Rfam by way of RNAcentral. Lineage: Eukaryota; Metazoa; Arthropoda; Arachnida; Araneae; Eresidae.